ACGUAGGAGACAAACGUUAUCCGGAGUUACUGGGCGUAAAGGGCGUGUAGGUGGUUUAGUAAGUCUGGCGUGAAAUUUUUCGGCUUAACCGGGAAAGGUCGUCGGAUACUGCAAGACUAGAGGACGGUAGAGGCGUGUGGAAUUCCGGGUGUAGUGGUGAAAUGCGUAGAGAUCCGGAGGAACACCAGUGGCGAAGGCGACACGCUGGGCCGUACCUGACACUGAUGCGCGACAGCAUGGGGAGCAAACAGGA
This 253-nucleotide ribosomal RNA is filed under the name uncultured prokaryote. RNAcentral's name for it is "partial 16S ribosomal RNA". It matches the Rfam family "Bacterial small subunit ribosomal RNA", at positions 525 to 777 of the family's 1533-position model. The record is from RNAcentral.